UCUCACUAAAUCUUGAACUUCCCUGUCUCU
This 30-nucleotide non-coding RNA is filed under the name Rattus norvegicus (Norway rat). Lineage: Eukaryota; Metazoa; Chordata; Mammalia; Rodentia; Muridae. The record is from RNAcentral.